AUGCCCCAAUCUCUCCUGGAGGCAGUUUUGAGGAUGGAAGAACCUCUCAAUCGCAGCAAACACUGGGUAGAUUCAGAUGACAAAGAGGAUGAAGAGGAAGAAGAGGAGGAACUAAUUAUCCAUGCGGAAAUAGAAGAAGGCAUUCGGUCUGUUGACACCAUCUCAAGUAUUCCAGCUGCUGCGGAAACACAUGAUGUUAUCGACCUUCGAAGCUGCAGAGGAAGGAGCCAGAUAACCAGGCAGAAAGGCCAUUAUACCAGGUAUGUGCUAGUGGGAGCUCAAACUAAACCGUGUCAUCAGGCGGCAGUAUUGGUGAUGGACCUGGGGAAUUGGGAAAGCCUCCAAGUGACAGGCACCCAACCCAGUAUGUUAAAUGUUUCUGGAUUCCUGCAUCAUGAUGGACCUUGGAGAGCCGGAGAGGAAUUGGACGACGAAGAGGAGGAACUGGAAGAUGGGAAAAUAGAAAAAGGCACUCAGGAAGAGGAAGAUGAGAAGGAUGAACUGGAAGAUGGGGAAAUAGAAGAAGCUACUCGGGAACACGUAGAAGAGGAGGAGGAACUGGAAGACAGGGAAAUAGAAGAAGCUACUCAGCAAGAGGAAGAGGAGCUGGACGAUGGGGAAAUAGUACAAGGUAUUUCGGCUAGAGGAGGCGGAGGAACUGGAAGAUGGGGAAAUAGUGGAAGACAUUCAGCAAGAGGAGGAAGAGGAGGAGCUGGCAAGAUGGGCAGCAAGAGGAAGAAGAGGAGGAACUGGAAGAUGGGGAAAUAG
This 768-nucleotide ribosomal RNA is filed under the name Triticum aestivum (bread wheat). Its description in RNAcentral is "partial small subunit ribosomal RNA". The record is from RNAcentral. Lineage: Eukaryota; Viridiplantae; Streptophyta; Magnoliopsida; Poales; Poaceae.